This is a long non-coding RNA of Brachypodium distachyon (stiff brome), 667 nucleotides long. RefSeq lists it as uncharacterized. The transcript has 2 exons. NCBI's taxonomy places the organism in Eukaryota, Viridiplantae, Streptophyta, Magnoliopsida, Poales, Poaceae. The record is from RefSeq and is a predicted model, not a curated record.
CCGAAGAAGGCUUGCCGGUGCCCAAUAGUUGGAACAUUGAGCACCUGCACAAGUUCUACCUGUGAAACGGUGGUGCCUUACCCACGGGUGACGCUGCGGCAGCGUGCUUCUUUAAGCUAGUGUAGCCGGGCAAGGCCCGAUUGUAAUCCGCUAGCACAAAGUUGAAUAAAGAUAAGUGUUGCCUCAAUAAUUGUUGUGCUUUGCUGUUUAUAAGUGCUUUCGUCUCCUGCUCUAGGUGCAAAGAAUUGUCUCCUCAUCCUUGCCUGUGAGCAGGGGGUUGCCGGAACCCUGAAAACAAAGCUCGUUGUCGGGACGUCUCAGAACGAGGCCUAGCAGUUGCCGGACCCGUCCGCAAUGUGCUACGUGCCAGCAGGGCACCGUGGAAAUAUAAAGAUGCUCACACCCAAGUCUGAGGUCGACUCUUCUGUGCCUGGGGGCUGGGAGGGAAUUCUGACGAUGAGUAAGGUUACGUUGUGUUGGGUCACGAGCCUGCAUUCCAACAUGCGCUCUCUGUGGUGUUGCAAUGGCUCAAUUUUUCCUUCGUUUUCCGCUGCCGAACAAUUUAUUUAUUUAGUUUCAAUGCUAACCCGAGUGGUUAUGCAAAGUUGUAAGUACUAUAAAGUUUUGGAUGAUGACGAUGUAAUAAAUUACUUGACCUUUGUUUCUC